Molecule: ribosomal RNA, 483 nt
Filed under: uncultured bacterium
Lineage: Bacteria
Description: bacterial SSU rRNA
Rfam family: Bacterial small subunit ribosomal RNA
Source: RNAcentral
GAUUAACGCUAGCGGCAGGCCUAAUACAUGCAAGUCGAGGGGCAGCAGGGUGUAGCAAUACAUCGCUGGCGACCGGCGCACGGGUGCGUAACACGUAUGCAACCUACCUUUAACUGGGGAAUAGCCCUCCGAAAGGAGGAUUAACACCGCAUAACAUCACGAGACGGCAUCGCCUUGUGAUCAAACCUCCGGGGGUUAAAGAUGGGCAUGCGUCCGAUUAGCUAGUUGGCGGGGUAACGGCCCACCAAGGCGACGAUCGGUAGGGGGUCUGAGAGGAUGAUCCCCCACACUGGUACUGAGACACGGACCAGACUCCUACGGGAGGCAGCAGUGGGGAAUAUUGGGCAAUGGGCGAAAGCCUGACCCAGCCACGCCGCGUGAGUGAUGAAGGCCUUCGGUUGUAAGACUCUUAGUUCCACGAUUAUAAUGACUGUAGUGGAAGAAUAAGACCCCGGCUAACUUCGUGCCAGCAGCCGCGGUAAG